This is a long non-coding RNA of Miniopterus natalensis, 1511 nucleotides long. RefSeq lists it as uncharacterized. The record is from RefSeq and is a predicted model, not a curated record. NCBI's taxonomy places the organism in Eukaryota, Metazoa, Chordata, Mammalia, Chiroptera, Miniopteridae.
ACCUGUCUGCAGUCCUGCUCUUCGUUAACCGCUGCUCUGGGCCCUGGCUUGGCGAAGCCUGGCCCUGCUCCGCCCACGGAGAGCCGCAGGGCUGCUUACCCGAAUUACUGUCGUGUGUCAUUCUCCUCCCCGACGCCCAGCCUGGCUGGGCGCUGCAGCUGGGAGGCGGAGGCGUGACCUUCGUGCGGUCAUCACUUGGAGCCCUCAGAUUGCUGAUGGCUAAGAGCUUAAGACGACCAGGACUUCCAGGUGCUGGGGACCCGUGUUGGGCAGGGUCCCCCAUGCCACCUGUGUGACUGAUGGCGCUGAGAAGAAACUUCAGGAAAAAAAGAUGACAGGAAAAAACACAUACAAGCUCUUAAAGCUCACAAAUUAGUUUAACAAGAAAAACAUCAGCCAGAUCCAACUGAACAAUCCACUUACCCUGGCCCUGAGUGGUGGGCAGGGAGAGAGCCCAACUCUGGGGCCAGAGAACUCGCAGGUUCAAAUCAUUGCUCCUUUCUGAGCCUCAGUUUUCUUAUUUGAAAAGCAAAAAGUAAUACAUCUUAAUUCACCAAACUUUUGGUGAGGUCAAGAUACAGGAUGUAGAGGGUUUUGUGUCUUCUCCUGUAUGUGAAAAGGGCAAAACAAAGCACAAUGGAAGAACGGGAGUGCUGAAUGCUGCAAAGACCACGAGAAGACACAUUUGGGGCAAACACCCUACGCGGGCCUACCUGAAAAGCAUUGUCUUUAUUACUAAUUGACUUUCUGACUCUGGCCUCUUGCCUUCUGCUGAAGGGAAACAGGCAACCUUCAGCUUGGAUUCAACAUCACGCUGAAUCCACGUGCGACAGGCAGGGAGGGGAGCUCUCCCCACAGUGUGCAAGGUCCACGGGGAGGCAGGAUCCAAACUUCUGUCAGAUCAAGGUCCUGUCACGCACAGCUCUCUGCACUUGCAGAGAAGACCUGCAGAACUCAGAGCUGCUUUAACAGGGGAAGUGUCUUAUGAUCGGUGACAUAGGUGAGAAGAGAGAUAAUAAAAUGGAGUCCUCAGACUAAAGGCAGAGACUGACGGGGAAUCACCAGUGUCUUGCGUCUGUACCAGCCCCACAGACCCACCCCCAUGGUGUAGGGGCUUCGAGAAGUGAUAACUGAACCACACAAUUAAGGACAAACACGGUAAAUGUAAACUUUUGGAUAUACAAACAUAAAAUGUUAUCUUAGAACUGUAGGAUAUAAAUCUUUCUGGCCACUUUUCUAAGAAAUCACACAUAUACAGAUACUUAUAUUUUAAAAAAAUUGUACCAGACUAGAUAUGCUAUUUACAAACUGCCCUUUUCCCCUUAGCCAUGGUUUGGGCAGCUUUCCACACCAAUAAAUACGGAUCGAGACCUUGUUGUUGGGGUGAACUGUAUAGUACUCCUUGGUGUAGGUGCACUGUAAUUUACUUAUAAAUCCCUUACGAAAGGGAAAGUUUCUUUUCAACACACUAUUUUGAGGAUGAUGACUGUCCAAAGAUAAAACCAGCUGGU